This 425-nucleotide ribosomal RNA is filed under the name uncultured bacterium. Its description in RNAcentral is "bacterial SSU rRNA". It matches the Rfam family "Bacterial small subunit ribosomal RNA", at positions 354 to 796 of the family's 1533-position model. The record is from RNAcentral.
GUGGGGAAUAUUGGACAAUGGGCGCAAGCCUGAUCCAGCCAUGCCGCGUGAGUGAUGAAGGCCCUAGGGUUGUAAAGCUCUUUCACCGGUGAAGAUAAUGACGGUAACCGGAGAAGAAGCCCCGGCUAACUUCGUGCCAGCAGCCGCGGUAAUACGAAGGGGGCUAGCGUUGUUCGGAAUUACUGGGCGUAAAGCGCACGUAGGCGGACAUUUAAGUCAGGGGUGAAAUCCCGGGGCUCAACCCCGGAACUGCCUUUGAUACUGGGUGUCUGGAGUAUGGAAGAGGUAAGUGGAAUUCCGAGUGUAGAGGUGAAAUUCGUAGAUAUUCGGAGGAACACCAGUGGCGAAGGCGGCUUACUGGUCCAUUACUGACGCUGAGGUGCGAAAGCGUGGGGAGCAAACAGGAUUAGAAACCCCGGUAGUCC